CCACAAAGCAGCAGCAGCAGCAGCAGCAGUACUCGCAGAAGCAGUAGCAGCACGAGCAGCUGAGUGUCUCAAUCGUGCAUUUACCCGCUGCUGCUGUCGGAAUUUCUGCAGUCAUUUAACAAUCAUUUGGUGUAUCGAUCUGCCUCGCGCGGCAUAGUGUCUCAGUCACGUUUUCGCCGUUGUUAUUGGUGUUGUUAUUGUUAAUAUUGUUAUUGCUAAUCAUUUAAAUGUUGAAAUUGUUAUUGUUUACAGCAGCUAGUCAAUAGCAGUAGUGGUAGUAGUUAAUAAUAGAAGUGGCGAUGCGAGUCGUAUUGUUAUACACGAUAUGUUAAUGGUGGAGACUGAAGGUAGAUCACUCGAUUUAUACAUUAGGACGGUAACUAAUCGAUAACUGUUCAGUGGAUUGUCGAUAUUGCAUAUGACGAAUCAUAGUGAAAGAAGUUUUUGCGGUAUUCGCCCUUGUCCUUUGGAAUAAUGUGAAAUGUGAACAAGUGAAUUUUUUUAUAACUCUGCAAACAUUCCCAGCAGUAUUCAAGAGGAAGGACUAACAUUAAGAUGUGGCCAACUGGUGGGAGGUUAGUAAAAGAGGACCAGAGUUCCACUGGCGGAUGAAACUGAAAGGCGACUGAUCGUCAAGCAUAGAUUGACAUUCAAGCUAAAGUUAAUCUCAUGCUGAACGACAGAAGGUUUGAUGAUGAAACGGGUGCCGACCCAGAACGCAACGGAAAUGGAGUUCCUACUUCGAUUUAUACUCAGGUCCCUCAUCUUGAGUCAACGAUGGACUCUUUCACAUAUGACCCAUCGCUUGUCACGGUUGGAAACAUGUCGAACCUUGGGAACCUUGGUAGCCUGGGCAAUAAAGAAGUUCGUUAUGCUUCAUUCUCAACAGUUCCAGCUUCGCUACCAUCGAUGCUUCCGCCACCGUUGCCACCACCCCCACCACCUCUUCCUCUUCACAUGCAACAACGCAUUUAUUCGCGUUCCAUGACAUCCUUACCACCGGAGCCUUUCAUGCUGAUGCGUUCAAAAGCUUUGAACAGAAGAGUCUGCAUUAAUGUCGGUGGUGUUAAACACGAAGUUCUUUGGCGUACUCUGGAAAGACUGCCUCACACUCGUCUCGGACGUCUCCGAGACUGCAAUACUCACGAAGCAAUAACUGAGCUUUGUGACGAUUACUCGCUUAUAGACAACGAAUUUUUUUUCGAUCGACAUCCCAAGUCGUUUAGCUCAAUAUUAAAUUUCUACAGGACUGGGAAACUCCAUUUAGUUGACGAGAUGUGCGUUCUAGCAUUCAGCGAUGACUUAGAGUACUGGGGUAUCGACGAGCUUUAUCUCGAAAGCUGCUGCCAGCACAAAUACCACCAACGGAAGGAGCACGUUCACGAGGAAAUGAGAAAGGAGGCCGAGUCUCUUCGGCAACGAGAGGAGGAGGAAUUCGGGGAAGGAAAAUGUGCGCAAUAUCAAAAAUGUCUCUGGGAUCUUCUCGAAAAACCAACAACCUCUAUAGCUGCCAGGGUGAUAGCUGUGAUAUCAAUACUCUUUAUUGUGCUAUCAACCAUCGCAUUAACUCUCAACACCAUUCCUAGUAUGCAAGUGAAUGACGAAAAAGGAAACUUUCAAGACAAUCCACAACUUGCAAUGGUGGAAGCGGUUUGCAUCACUUGGUUUACACUUGAGUAUGUACUUAGGUUCAGUGCCUCCCCUGACAAGUGGAAGUUCUUUAAGGGAGGCCUAAACGUAAUAGACCUUCUCGCAAUACUUCCUUACUUCGUGUCUCUAUUCCUCGUCGAAACAAACAAGAACGCAACGGACCAAUUCCAGGAUGUGCGUCGUGUAGUUCAGAUAUUUCGUAUAAUGCGCAUUUUGAGGAUACUGAAGCUUGCACGCCAUUCAACCGGGCUCCAAAGCUUGGGCUUUACGUUACGUAAUUCAUACAAAGAGCUCGGCCUGUUGAUGCUAUUUCUUGCAAUGGGCGUCUUGAUAUUCUCAAGUCUCGCUUAUUUUGCCGAAAAGGAAGAACCUGGAACUAAAUUCAUAAGCAUUCCCGAGACAUUUUGGUGGGCAGGAAUCACCAUGACAACCGUAGGCUAUGGAGAUAUUUACCCAACUACUCCCCUCGGCAAAGUGAUUGGAAGUGUAUGUUGUAUAUGUGGUGUCCUGGUAAUUGCGUUACCCAUUCCAAUUAUCGUCAAUAAUUUUGCCGAGUUCUACAAGAAUCAGAUGAGGCGCGAAAAAGCACUGAAGCGCCGAGAGGCUUUGGAAAGGGCGAAGCGAGAAGGAAGCAUUGUUUCCUUCCACCACAUCAACCUGAGGGACGCCUUCGCUAAGAGUAUAGAUCUCAUCGACGUCAUCGCUGACACGGGUCAGAACAUGUCGGGAAUAGAUGGAAACAGCACGGAGGGUGAAUCCGCGUGUGGUCGAGGCCCUGCGCAGACUGGUGCGGGAUGCUACCGUAACUACGAGCAUUGCAGCAUAUCUACUCAUCGCCGAAGCGCCUCAACGUGCUUGCCAACAUUGCCGAAUGAUCUGUCAACCCCGGAGAGUCCGAACCAUCGUCUGCUUGACUUUGCCACCAGUUCAUCACCUAAUAGGAACGAUCACUAUUUCCAAGAUGAUAUUCCAAUCCAGCCAUCAACUCAAGGGAAUACCACUCCUAGUGAUGAAGAGAAGAAGGAUUCCAGAAAAUUUGACAAAAUUGAAGAACUGCCUAGUGAAUUCGAAUGCUGUUUCUGUACUACUAAGGCGUAUAAGGAUUUUAGAGAUGCUGAGAAUCUCAUGCCUUUGGCUACAAGUGAUUUCCGGAAUCCAGUUUGCCAGGAACUGAGAGCCCUGCGCGACAGCAAUGCAGAAUCAAACAGUUUCGGAUACAAUCAGAAUUCACCAAAUCAAGACAAUUACUCGAAUUCAUGUUUUAAAAAUAAUAACGAGUCAUGCAGCGCGGACAGCACGGAUACCUUUGCCAGUUGCCACACACAUUUUUUCAAUUCUCAAGGUGACCUCACGGAGGAAGGUGAUAGUAACUUGUACAUAAACCCAUUGGAAAGUACAGACAAGUGCAACAGCUGUCAUCGUCAACAGUCCACUUCAACGAACACGACGAAGUCUACGACAACAGGCGUUCUGCUACACAUAUCCAAUGUACAAUCUUCCGAGCAGCCCGCGCAGACAUUAAAUCCACCGAAUGAAGAUGGCAAAGAAAAUUUCAGCGAUACCUCUGUACCUAAGCAUAAGAAAACUCGGAUUCAACAAAGCGGAAAGCAACGCACCCAUUUUGGCGUUAAUCCUGAUUCUUUAUCGAGUAUUGUUGGAGUCUCGACGGAAAAUACUAUCACUGGAGAUAACAAUAACCAAUACGGACUGAUCGACAGCCUCAGAAAUGGCAUCCUGACACCAGCAGAUUACUUUGCCUCUCCAUCCCGAGUGAUUAACCAUCAUUUGUUUGGAAAUGUUGGUGGCUUGAAACAUUCCUACUCUGGGAAAUCUAUUGGAAGUAAGCUGUCCUUAUCCAGCAACUCGAUAGAUAGUGAAACAAUGCCGUUUUUAGACCGGCACCGUGUUUCCAAAUCAAUUCUAAAAAAAUCAGAUAUCAGCAAUGUUCGAUACAACAACGGCUGGGACUCAGAUAAGGAAAAACUGAUAUCAGAAAAUACGUCUGCUACCAGCGUGUAUGACAGCGAAGGUGAUAUUCGGACAGAUUUGUUACUGAUAAAAGGUCCAGUCCUCAAGCUGUCGCAGUCAUCUGAACAACAAUCUUCUGGGAUAAUUUUCCAGACGAAGAAUGAAAGCAAUCGAAACGACGUUUCAGAUCAUAUCAGUACAAAAAACUUUACAGCUGCAUUAUCGAAAACUCUUUUUGACUCACAUAAAGAUGCACGAGACGAAAUGGUCACAGACAACAAAGUCAAAGAGUGUAACGACGAUAGUGCACAAGAGGAUUACAAAAAAAGCGAAAGUGCGACAGGGAAAAGUCAACACAAUACUCUGCUGAUUUGUCCGCCGCAGUCAAACGAUGAAAAUAUUAGGGAAAAUAGCAUCCAUCGUGAAAGGAAGAAGCCGACACCGAAUAAACCGAACACGAAUCAAACCACCGCUAUUCGUUUGAACACAAAUUCAAACUGUUGUAGCUUCGCUACGUAGCAGAGAAGUCGUUACGUAUAUGUGUAAUAAAGAAUGGAAUUAAUCUACAAGGGAGACUGGAAGUUCUGAUAUCUCCUUAAGGCAAGACCCUAGUGAAAUUUGAAAAUUCGACUUUCUAACAUUUUGGAUGGGUAAAUCCGGAGCACUUUGGUAAAAUAUGGUUGUGGCGUCACCAGUUAUUAUUAUUAUUAUUAUUAUUAUCUUCAAAGAUUCAGAAUAAAAGUCAAGUAAAAGUAAAAGAGAGAAAUGCAAAUGAUUUUCGCGUGGUUGUAAAUUUAUAGUAAGAUAACUUGGAACAAGAUCAAGAUUACUAUAUAUAUUGUUUUACACGAAACUAUCCACACAUAGUAAGAUUAACUAGGCAUCCUUGACAGGUCAACUGUAACAUCAUCAUCGUAUGAGACCUAUAAAUGUAAUUCCAUUAUCCACAACUUCACAGUUGCAGUAUCAAGUGUGUGCAGUCCCCGUGAAACUUUAUCAUUCAAAGAAAUCACGAAAUCCAUAGAUAUCAAAAAAUCUCGACACCUUUCUUUCGAAGCCUGUAUCUCAGAAACUACUGAUUUUUGGGAAUUGUGUCCAUGAGAACUUUUGAUUGGGAGGAUAUGUCCUAUAACAUACUGAAAAUCCAGCCAAUUCGACCGGGAUCCAAUUUGCGUAAGGAUUCUGCGGGGUCUUUUAUCGUUCAACGGACCAUCCGUUGGCACCUAGUUGCCUCUACAAUAUACAAAUCGUAGGUUCCAACAAUAAUGUUACGGUUAUCUGUACUAUGAUACCAUAAUGAUUUUCAACAAUAAAAUGUAGCAGUCACCUCCAAUCACCCUAUUUCAGAGUUAAAAUAUGGUAAAUUCAAUUAUAUUUUUCUGAGAAUGUCAAUUCUUGAAACUUCUACUCAAUUUUAAAUGUUGAGUUCAUUUUCUUAAUCUUUACACGAAAAAUAUUGCUAGGGUUAACGGUGAUUCGUAUAGUUAACCCUUCAUUAGGCGCAUGGGGACGUAGAAAUCCCAGGUAUAUUACUUGUUUCCGCUGCUACAAAAAAAAAUUUACGGUGUUGCUAUUUUCAGUACCUUUCAGAAACCUUUCAAUAAAGCCAUUCUCUAUGUUAGCGUCCUGUUUUCGCCGUUUAUUCCGCAACAAUAAGUCAUUAAACUCCGUCAGGGUCUCCACGGACCUACAAGUUCGUUUCUACAAGUGGCGGUUGAACAAAAUCGUUUCUACAAGUGGCGGUUGAACAAAAUCGUUUCUAUAAAUGCCGAUCCUACAAGUUCGUUUCUACAAAUGGUGAUCCUAUAAGUGCGUUUCAACAAAUGGUGGUCCUACAAGUUCAUUCCUACAAGUGGCGUCUAAUGUAUGAGAAACGAACUUGUAGGACUGCAACUUAUAAAAACGAAUUUGUAGGAUCGCCACUUGUAGAAAUGAACUUGUAGGACCACCACUUGUAGGAACCAACCUUUUGGAACCAAACAGGAGAACGAACUAAUAGGAUCGCCACAUGUAAAAACGAACUUGCAGAACUGUUCACUUGUAGAAACGAUACCUUCUCGCACCGGCAUUACUGAUCGGGGUGUAUAACAGGAGUAAGUAUUAUUUGUGACACAGAACUAAACACACAACAAUGUCUUUGUCUAUGUCAGCUUGAAUUUUAACAAAAGUUGAAGAUUAUGUUAUUAUAAAAUUGGGGAAUUAUAAAUAUUUAUUUUCUCAGUACGUGUACUUUUUCGUUGGCCAAAAAAGUGCUUUUUCUAAAUUAAUAAAAACUGUAAACAUUUAUUAAAUAUGGUACGCCAUGAACUAUUUUGAUUAUUUAUAUCUUCAUUUCAGUCAGCAAGCUUAUAAAGAAGCAGUUUUGUGCAAAGGAAUAGUAUCUUUUUGCGUUAUCGUCCAUAGUAGUCGAAUUUUCGGGUUUUUUGACUUCUGAGAUGAAAUAUUGUUUAUUUAUAAUUAUCAAUGAAUUUGAAACGUGCAACCCGUCAAUCCUCACAGGCACAAUUUCCAGAAUAAAACGUUUUUAUUUAUUUGUUUCGGCAAAGUAGCAAAAUCGCGACAAUCGGGUGAGAAUUUGUAGUUCGUACUCAUUGCGUUCUUAUUUCACUUGCUAGUUCAAAUGGUCCUAAUGUAGUUCGCACAGUCGCGUGCAGUAUUUGCCUGCCUGUCUCUACCUCGAAUCCUGCUUGCCCAUGUCGCACUUCACACAGAUCAGUUGGUCGCAUGUGUAUUUACUUUCGUAAAAUCAUGUCUGUAUAUUAUCUAUGUGUAUUAUCUCGAUUUUGUAAACCCUCCGUUGUUGUACUGAUAUCUCGGGAUACAGAUCGUAUCGCUGUAUCGAAUAAAGUACUUUGUAUCAUUAUUUUAACUCUUCUUUGGCGCACUUACUUCUGGCCACGAUUUUGACACGCCGGAUCAAUUUGCCUCGGAUGGUGCUUCAUCCACCUGUCAUUAACAACCCUUUCGUGGGAUUUUAGUUUAUGAAAAAGUGAGCAUUCAAUGAAAAAUUCGUCCAGGUUAAAAUGACCCAGAGUUCCCAACGAAGUUAAUAAUCACCAUUUAUCGUUAAUUAUCAACCCGGUUCAUUCGCUACAGUUCUUUAUCGUUAAUUCGCGGAUCCUACGUCGAUAAUCUACAACCUCUAUCUAUCUCUCCAAACAGUAUUGGAGAUGAACAUAUUGCAUUAGUUAAAUGGGGUCUUCGAAGACCCCGCACGUUUACUGGAUUUACGAAAGUUGAUGCGCCUAAUGAAGGGUAAAUGCCCGAUAUAUAUGUGGGGAGUUCCAUACGAAAUGUGCAAUUUUUGGCCCGGACAUACAGUUUGGGAGCUACAGCGAUGUGAAAAAAAUAAUUACAAAUUUUGGAUUUGGUGUAACUCGCAACUUGUAAAAGGUAGAAUUUUUAUUAUAUAGAGGAAUUUUUUUUACAACCCAUAAAUGGACUAGACCAAGUUUGAGACAAAUCGGAAGGGGUGUGGACAAUUAAUUGCAUAUUUCGUAUGGAACUCCGCAUAUAUAUAUAUAUAUAUAUAAAGGUAUAUAAUAAAAUAUGGCCAGAAAAUACUCCUAUCUUCAAAAGUGAUACUUGGUAUUGAAAUAAUGGUUAACUUUACAUUUUUAUUUAAUUGAAGUAUCUCUUAUCUAUGGAAAAGUGUUCUCAUGUAUUGAGUUACUUGUUCAUCUAUGUUGGGACACAUAUAUUGUAACGUGUUCGACCGCUCCACCGGCUGGUUGAGCAAUCAACAUUACAGCUAACCACACCGACGCACUAACCGACGCAACGCAACGAAUGCAUACAAAGGACAGAUCACACCCAUGACGGACGAACCAACACCGAGACUAAUCCUUUUGUCGUUCCGGCAUCGUCCACUGCCGCAGGACAUCGGUAUAAAUAGGAAAGCCUCGAACACGGCCGGCAGAUACAAACGUAAUUGGGUUUUUGUAAAACAUGUUCUCUGAAAAACCAAUAUAUCAUAUAAUACUAAGUAUAUGAUAUUUUAAAAAAACGAACUAUACUUACUUUAACAAAUAAUACCAUGUUCACAAAAAUUGAGUUAUGUUCAAAGGACAGGCAUCUAAAUUACGUAGAACCCGUUGUAAAACAACCAAGAAUUUAAAACAAUAAAAACCUUUGAACCUUGAACGGCGUGCAGUAGUAGGAUGGCAUAGCGCCUCUUCGACUUAUUUCACGUCGUUAAACUAUAUAAAGCUCAUCCUGAAUCUGCAGCCUAAUUUAGCUUAAUUUAUACAUAGGCGAACCCCCUUUUCGAAGUAACAAUAGAAAUAAUAAAAAGGGAGUAAUGCAUACACGGAGAGACAUUUUAUAGAAAGAUUUAUUAAAAUCACGACCAGAUUUUACUAUUCUUUCUCACAGUCUGGGGACAUAUCGGCAUUUUAUCAUAAACUCCUAUGUUGCGUGGUAAUUCUCAAGGUUGCCAAUUGUUAUAGGAAUCUAACCUACAAAACUUUUCAUUUCUAUAUAUAUAUAUAUUAUGGGGAUUACACGGUAGAUAUUAUAUUUACAUCACAUUUGAUAAUUAGAGGGUUACGUCAGCCCCCUGACACACGCUGCUAAAAGUGGUUCGCAAAAUUUCCCUCGAUUCUGCCGCCAAUCUCCACCACUAGUGGCGCUAGUAGUUGUCUGACAAGCU
This 8269-nucleotide unclassified non-coding RNA is filed under the name Neodiprion lecontei (redheaded pine sawfly). RNAcentral's name for it is "potassium voltage-gated channel subfamily B member 2, transcript variant X9". The stretch from base 2083 to 2196 matches the Rfam family "Potassium channel RNA editing signal". The record is from RNAcentral. Lineage: Eukaryota; Metazoa; Arthropoda; Insecta; Hymenoptera; Diprionidae.